AUAUUCCUACGGGGGGCAGCAGUGAGGAAUAUUGGUCAAUGGGCGCGAGCCUGAACCAUCCCCGUCUCUUUCUGGAAGACGGUCCUAUGGAUUGUAAACCUCUUUUGUCGGGGAGCAAAAGACGCCACGCGUGGCGUUCCGAGAGUACCCGAAGAAAAAGCAUCGGCUAACUCCGUGCCAGCAGCCGCGGUAAUACGGAGGAUGCGAGCGUUAUCCGGAUUUAUUGGGUUUAAAGGGUGCGCAGGCGGAAGAUCAAGUCAGCGGUAAAAUUGAGAGGCUCAACCUCUUCGAGCCGUUGAAACUGG
Molecule: ribosomal RNA, 305 nt
Filed under: uncultured bacterium
Lineage: Bacteria
Description: bacterial SSU rRNA
Rfam family: Bacterial small subunit ribosomal RNA
Source: RNAcentral